ACAAACAUAAUACACAGUGAGACAGUCAAGUCAACUCAAAUGUGUUUCAUUGUCAUUUCAACCCUAUACACAAAACGUUUCACCGUGGCUCAAGUGGUAUUACACAUUUAAAAUAUAUAAAAACAACAUCAUAUAAAAAUGACUGGCUACAUUUAGUGCAUACACAUUACAGGCUCUGUAAAGUCCAGCUAACGCGUUGGUAGCAUAAGCGCUUGGUGUAAACACUGAGUAUAAACACAGCCA
Molecule: long non-coding RNA, 243 nt
Organism: Etheostoma spectabile (orangethroat darter)
Lineage: Eukaryota; Metazoa; Chordata; Actinopteri; Perciformes; Percidae
Exons: 3
Source: RefSeq, a predicted model, not a curated record